UACGGAGGGUGCGAGCGUUGUCCGGAAUCAUUGGGCGUAAAGGGCGCGUAGGUGGCCCGGCAAGCGUGCGGUGAAAGCUCGGGGCUCAACCCCGAGUCGGCCGUGCGAACUGCUGGGCUCGAGCACUGUAGAGGCAGGCGGAAUUCCGGGUGUAGCGGUGGAAUGCGUAGAGAUCCGGAAGAGCACCGGUGGCGAAGGCGGCCUGCUGGGCAGUGGCUGACACUGAGGCGCGACAGCGUGGGGAG
This 245-nucleotide ribosomal RNA is filed under the name uncultured Gemmatimonas sp. RNAcentral describes it as "partial 16S ribosomal RNA". It matches the Rfam family "Bacterial small subunit ribosomal RNA", at positions 524 to 768 of the family's 1533-position model. The record is from RNAcentral. Lineage: Bacteria; Pseudomonadati; Gemmatimonadota; Gemmatimonadia; Gemmatimonadales; Gemmatimonadaceae.